AUCGGUAAAUGCAAACCUGUCUAAGGUAGGGAUGCAAAGCUAAAGAGCCUUUAAAUGGCUUACAGCUACCGAAA
RNAcentral lists this non-coding RNA (74 nucleotides) under unclassified sequences. The record is from RNAcentral.